GGGGCAGUACCUCAGUGGUAGAGACCCCGGUUCGCAUGCGGGAAGAACUGGGUUCGAUUCCCGGCUGCUUCC
RNAcentral lists this transfer RNA (72 nucleotides) under Toxocara canis (dog roundworm). It matches the Rfam family "tRNA". Rfam says of the family: Transfer RNA (tRNA) molecules are approximately 80 nucleotides in length. Their secondary structure includes four short double-helical elements and three loops (D, anti-codon, and T loops). Further hydrogen bonds mediate the characteristic L-shaped molecular structure. tRNAs have two regions of fundamental functional importance: the anti-codon, which is responsible for specific mRNA codon recognition, and the 3' end, to which the tRNAs corresponding amino acid is attached (by aminoacyl-tRNA synthetases). tRNAs cope with the degeneracy of the genetic code in two manners: having more than one tRNA (with a specific anti-codon) for a particular amino acid; and 'wobble' base-pairing, i.e. permitting non-standard base-pairing at the 3rd anti-codon position. Lineage: Eukaryota; Metazoa; Nematoda; Chromadorea; Rhabditida; Toxocaridae. The record is from Rfam by way of RNAcentral.